Molecule: ribosomal RNA, 406 nt
Filed under: uncultured bacterium
Lineage: Bacteria
Description: partial 16S ribosomal RNA
Rfam family: Bacterial small subunit ribosomal RNA
Source: RNAcentral
AUUGAACGCUGGCGGCAGGCCUAACACAUGCAAGUCGAACGAGUGGCGGACGGGUGAGUAAUGUCUGGGAAACUGCCUGAUGGAGGGGGAUAACUACUGGAAACGGUAGCUAAUACCGCAUACCAUCAGAUGUGCCCAGAUGGGUGUAACUUGUUGGUGGGGUAACGGCUCACCAAGGCGACGAUCCCUAGCUGGUCUGAGAGGAUGACCGGCCACACUGGAACUGAGACACGGUGCAGACUCUGACGGGAGGCAGCGGUGGGGCAUAUUGGACAAGGGGCGCAAGCCUGAUGCGGCCAUGCCGCGUGUAUGAGGAAGGCCUUCGGGUUGUAAAGUACUUUCAGCGGGGAGGCGUUACCUACAGAAGAAGCACCGGCUAACUCCGUGCCAGCCGCCGCGGUAAUUC